RNAcentral lists this small RNA (28 nucleotides) under Bombyx mori (domestic silkworm). Its description in RNAcentral is "ovarian small RNA-26779". The record is from RNAcentral. Lineage: Eukaryota; Metazoa; Arthropoda; Insecta; Lepidoptera; Bombycidae.
UCCAGAUUGUGCAUCAUUGUGUAGUUGC